Molecule: ribosomal RNA, 479 nt
Filed under: uncultured bacterium
Lineage: Bacteria
Description: partial 16S ribosomal RNA
Rfam family: Bacterial small subunit ribosomal RNA
Source: RNAcentral
GAUGAACGCUGGCGGCGUGCCUAACACAUGCAAGUCGAACGAUGAAACCGCCUCCGGGCGGACAUGAAGUGGCGAACGGGUGAGUAACACGUGACCGACCUGCCCCCCGCCCAGGGACAGCCCCCCGAAAGGGGGAUUAAUACCCGGUACUCCGGAAGCGGCGCAUGCCGCCCCCGGGAAAGCGCUGGCGGCGGGGGAUGGGGUCGCGGCCCAUCAGGUAGACGGCGGGGCAGAGGCCCACCGUGCCGACGACGGGUAGCCGGGCUGAGAGACCGACCGGCCACAUUGGGACUGAGAUACGGCCCAGACUCCUACGGGAGGCAGCAGUGGGGAAUUUUGCGCAAUGGGGCAACCCUGACGCAGCAACGCCGCGUGCGGGACGAAGGCGUCCGCGUCGUAAACCGCUUUCAGCGGGGAACACUUUUCGAGGGUACCCGCAGAAGAAGCCCCGGCUAAAUACGUGCCAGCCGCCGCAGUAA